UCUUGGUUCAGGACGAACGCUGGCGGCGUGCCUAAUACAUGCAAGUCGAACGGUCUUUCUAUGGAAGCUUGCUUCCACUGAGAAGAUAGUGGCGAACGGGUGAGUAACACGUGGGUAACCUGCCCAUAAGAGGGGGAUAACAUCCGGAAACGGGUGCUAAUACCGCAUAGUUUUCUUGAUCGCAUGAUCGGGAAAGGAAAGACGGCCUUUGUGCUGUCGCUUAUGGAUGGACCCGCGGCGUAUUAGUUAGUUGGUGAGGUAACGGCUCACCAAGACGAUGAUACGUAGCCGACCUGAGAGGGUGAUCGGCCACAUUGGGACUGAGACACGGCCCAAACUCCUACGGGAGGCAGCAGUAGGGAAUCUUCCGCAAUGGACGAAAGUCUGACGGAGCAACGCCGCGUGAGUGAAGAAAGGUUUUCGGAUCGUAAAACUCUGUUGUCAGAGAAGAACAAGUUGGAGAGUAACUGCUCCAGCCUUGACGGUAUCUGACCAGAAAGCCACGGCUAACUACGUGCCAGCCGCCGC
RNAcentral lists this ribosomal RNA (528 nucleotides) under uncultured bacterium. Its description in RNAcentral is "bacterial SSU rRNA". It matches the Rfam family "Bacterial small subunit ribosomal RNA", at positions 17 to 518 of the family's 1533-position model. The record is from RNAcentral.